CUGAUGAAAUCACUCUAUGUUCCU
RNAcentral lists this microRNA (24 nucleotides) under Oreochromis niloticus (Nile tilapia). RNAcentral describes it as "oni-miR-10585". The record is from miRBase by way of RNAcentral. Lineage: Eukaryota; Metazoa; Chordata; Actinopteri; Cichliformes; Cichlidae.